CCCUUGGUUGAUCCGCCGGACCCGACUGCUAUCAGAGUGAGACUAAGCCAUGCGAGUCAACGCAGCAAUGCGUGGCAUACGGCUCAGUAACACGUAGUCAACAUGCCCAGGGGACGUGGAUAACCUCGGGAAACUGAGGAUAAACCGCGAUAGGCCAAGAUUUCUGGAAUGGAUAAUGGCUGAAAUCUAUAUGGCCCCUGGAUUGGACUGCGGCCGAUCAGGCUGUUGGUGAGGUAAUGGCCCACCAAACCUGUAACCGGUACGGGCUCUGAGAGGAGGAGCCCGGAGAUGGGCACUGAGACAAGGGCCCAGGCCCUAUGGGGCGCAGCAGGCGCGAAACCUCUGCAAUAGGCGAAAGCUUGACAGGGUUACUCUGAGUGAUGUCCGUUAAGGGCAUCUUUUGGCACUUCUAAAAAUAGUGUAGAAUAAGGGGUGGGCAAGUCUGGUGUCAGCCGCCGCGGUAAUACCAGCACCCCGAGUGGUCGGGACGUUUAUUGGGCCUAAAGCAUCCGUAGCCGGUUCUACAAGUCUUCCGUUAAAUCCACCUGCUUAACAGAUGGGCUGCGGAAGAUACUAUAGAGCUAGGAGGCGGGAGAGGCAAGCGGUACUCGAUGGGUAGGGGUAAAAUCCGUUGAUCCAUUGAAGACCACCAGUGGCGAAGGCGGCUUGCCAGAACGCGCUCGACGGUGAGGGAUGAAAGCUGGGGGAGCAAACCGGAUUAGAUACCCGGGUAGUCCCAGCUGUAAACGAUGCAGACUCGGUGAUGAGUUGGCUUAUUGCUAACUCAGUGCCGCAGGGAAGCCGUUAAGUUUGCCGCCUGGGGAGUACGGUCGCAAGACUGAAACUUAAAGGAAUUGGGGGGGAAGCA
RNAcentral lists this ribosomal RNA (868 nucleotides) under uncultured archaeon. RNAcentral describes it as "bacterial SSU rRNA". It matches the Rfam family "Archaeal small subunit ribosomal RNA", at positions 1 to 878 of the family's 1478-position model. The record is from RNAcentral.